UAAGCUAGAGUAUNUCAGAGGGGGGUAGAAUUCCACGUGUAGCAGUGAAAUGCGUAGAGAUGUGGAGGAAUACCGAUGGCGAAGGCAGCCUCCUGGGAUAAUACUGACGUUCAUGCUNGAAAGCGUGGGUAGCAAACAGGAUUAGAUACCCUGGUAGUCCACGCCNUAAACGAUGUCAAUUAGCUGUUGGGCAACAUGAUUGCUUAGUAGCGUAGCUAACGCGUGAAAUUGACCGCCUGGGGAGUACGGUCGCAAGAUUAAAACUCAAAGGAAUUGACGGGGACCCGCGCAAGCGGUGGAUGAUGUGGAUUAAUUCGAUGCAACGCGAAGAACCUUACCUGGUCUUGACAUGUACGGAAUCUUCCAGAGACGGAUGAGUGCCUUCGGGAGCCGUAACACAGGUGCUGCAUGGCUGUCGUCAGCUCGUGUCGUGCGAUGUUGGGUUAAGUCCCGCAACGAGCGCAACCCUUGUCAUUAGUUGCCACCAUUCAGUUGGGCACUCUAAUGAGACUGCCGGUGACAAACCGGAGGAAGGUGGGGAUGACGUCAAGUCCUCAUGGCCCUUAUGACCAGGGCUUCACACGUCAUACAAUGGUCGGUACAGAGGGUAGCCAAGCCGCGAGGUGGAGCCAAUCUCAGAAAACCGAUCGUAGUCCGGAUUGCACUCUGCAACUCGAGUGCAUGAAGUCGGAAUCGCUAGUAAUCGCAGGUCAGCAUACUGCGGUGAAUACGUUCCCGGGUCUUGUACACACCGCCCGUCACACCAUGGGAGUGGGGGAU
RNAcentral lists this ribosomal RNA (780 nucleotides) under uncultured bacterium. RNAcentral's name for it is "bacterial SSU rRNA". It matches the Rfam family "Bacterial small subunit ribosomal RNA", at positions 637 to 1418 of the family's 1533-position model. The record is from RNAcentral.